UUACAGCUAGUUGAGUAGCUGGGAUUACAGGCGCCUGCCAUCACGCCUGGCUAAUUGUUUUGUAUUUUUAGUAGAGACGGGGUUUCACCAUGUUGGCCAGGCUGGUCUUUAACUCCUGUCCUCAAGUGAUCCACGCCCCUCGGCCUCCCAAAAUGCUGGGAUUACAAGCAUGAGCCAGCGCGCCCGGCCUUUUUUUUUUUUUUUUUUUAAAUGUACUCAGCACUAUUUUAGGUAGUGUGGCAAAACAGAUGAACAAUAAAAUAUGUUUCCUGCCCUCAAGGACUUUAUAUAUAAUGUAGGUAAGGACUUUAUAUAUAACAUAGGUAAUAUAAGCUAUCAGAGUGAAAUAAUGACAUAAAAAUACAAAGAAAAAUAAUAAGAGUACUUGCUGCUCUGAUGGAAGGCUCUCAGUAACCUCACUCUCUGGGUCCCGGUAGAAAACCAGGCAGCUGGAACAUCUACUUGUCUGCACACGAACCCUCAUUGAUCCUCACUGACUCCUAGUUGUACCCCAAUUGGAAUGAUUCUUGUUUACUAUCUAGUCCUAACAAACAGGGCUUUAUUAUUGGGCUUUCUACAAAUUAAAAACAGGAAUUUAAAAGAAUGAAAAAUUGCUUGGAGUGAGAGUAUUGAAAACUGAUUUUAAAAAAAGGCCACUAAUAGUGAGAAAGGGAAUAGAAAGCCUAUUACAGACACGACUCAGAAAGCAGAACAAGUUGGGGGUGCUGAGCAAAGGAGCAAGUGAGGUUUCCCCUCUCAGGCUCCCCUCUGACCAUGAUGUGGCCCUGUUUGAUGGCUGAUAGCCAUGUGCUGAGUUUAUCAUUAACAACAGGUUAAUAGCUUCAGUAUAUAUUUAAUUAGGCUGGACACUGUGACACAUUUGAGAAAUCUUUCUACUGAAAUUAGUUUAAAUAAAACCUUUUGGCAUGCAAAGGGAAUAAGCCUCAGUUAUCAGGACAAAUCACAGCAGAGACACCUCAUUUCCCAAUCAUCCUGGAUAAAUGAAGACUGACUCUCUGUCACUGAGCCUGCCGUUGUGUGGUACAGACCAUAUUUUCUAUAUUAUUAUAAAAUUAUCAUAAAAUGUGAUUUUUUGCAAUAUCAUACCCUUUAUGGUCAUUCUUAAGAAGGAAGUUAGUUAAAUUUCAAGCACGGUAACAGAAAGAGGUUCUAGACCAAAUGCCUUAUUAAAUAGAUAAGCUCAAAUGAAAGUAAAUGCACAUUUCAUGCAAGUCUUCUGUUUUAAUAUUUGAAUGUAGAAUUUCCCAAUGUUCUGGGAUAGUGCACAGCACAUGGAAAAGACCAUAACAGAAUAUCAUUGCCCACACAUAUUUGAAUUAUUUUUAAAAAACUGUGUGUGCGUAUCUAGAUUUUUAAUAAAAAAGAACCAUGAUAGUAACACUGAUUUCGGAAAAACUGGAAAGAUGGAGGGAACAGGAACUCAGGCUUAAGCCAUAGCACACUUUUCUUUUAUCGAUUCUCCAUUUGUUUUGUAGGAUUUCAACAGUGAAGGAGACCUGAGAAGACAUAAAAUCAAUCUCUCAAAUUGAAGUUGAAAAAAGCAAAUCAUCUCUCACACCCACCCUGAUUGGUAAUAAUUAACUUGGGAAUACUUCAGUUACUCUUUCAUUAAGCAGUUCUCCUAGAUAUCGAAUUUAUGUUAGUUUAUUUAUUGGAUUCAUCCUAAGCAUUCAAGGUACUUUUGAAGGAUAUGAGGCAAACUGUUAGCAUCAUUUAACAUUUAUUGAAUUAUAGCAUCCACAUAACUUAGAGCAGACACAAGACUUAAUGAGAAAAGCAAGACAUUAUUCCUGUUUUAUAGAGAGUAACCAAGGCCAACAGGUAGAAAGAAGACUUGCCCAAAGUCAGACAGAAAAUAUUGAGAGGAGAUUAGGACCCACUUAGGUUAUUUUUGGUAGAUUGCUCUUUUCACUUAUACAUAGCUGAGUUUGCCAGAAAAAUAAAUCUCAGGAAUAAAGAAAAUAUACUGAACAUGAACAGUUAAUUGAGAUGCUUAAGCGUAAACACAUGGAGGGGUGGUAGGUAAGCACUUGUGUUGACUCAGCCAUCAUUCUGUUUGUGUGUGCCAAUCAGUCUCUGCCAGUUGGUAUCAGUCAUUAUCCAAUGAGAGAAAUGAGAGCUAGGAAAAGGGGAGUGAGCCCCGAUUAUCUUUUAUAAGUAUAUAAAUUGAUGGCUAUGGUAGGAUUUUUCUCAAUGUGGAAACUCGAAGUUCUGUGCCUAAGUUUUAUUUCAAGAAACAUUUUGUUUGUGUCAAUAGAUCCAGAGCCAAUGGGUUCAUUUAAAACUCUCUUUUAUGAUGGCAAUGAAUAAAAGAGGAUCCUAGACCAUCAGAAGAUUUUAGCCUUGGAGCUCCCCACCCUCCUAACACACACAGAUAGAGCUGGCUCCAAACUCUGCUGCUUCCAUGGUCGUGGCUACCUACUACUCUGUUCCUACUUCAUCUUCACUGUGAUUUUUGUCCAUAUGUCAGACUGAAGCAGACUGCUUAGGACCUUGGGUUGAGGUAGGGGACGUCUUUCUUCAGGCUAGGCAUUUCAACUGAAGAGGAAAAAAAAGUAGGAAUAGGAAAUGAUGACUACUAGAGGUCAAUUGAUCUAUUAAAAACAAAAAUGAUUAUUUUUGACUCCUGAGUUCUGAAAAUGUAUUUGAGGGUUCUUCAACACA
Molecule: long non-coding RNA, 2685 nt
Filed under: Pan troglodytes (chimpanzee)
Lineage: Eukaryota; Metazoa; Chordata; Mammalia; Primates; Hominidae
Description: long non-coding RNA NONPTRT017220
Source: RNAcentral